Molecule: long non-coding RNA, 7576 nt
Filed under: Homo sapiens (human)
Lineage: Eukaryota; Metazoa; Chordata; Mammalia; Primates; Hominidae
Description: HSALNT0180787
Source: RNAcentral
CCGGGAGUGCAGCCUCUGCCCGGCCGCCACCCCGUCUGGGAAGUGAGGAGCGUCUCUGCCUGGCCACCCAUCGUCUGGGACGUGAGGAGCCCCUCUGCCUGGCUGCCCAGUCUGGAAAGUGAGGAGCGCUUCUUCCCGGCCGCCAUCCCAUCUAGGAAGUGAGGAGUGCCUCUUCCCGGCCACCAUCCCAUCUAGGAAGUGAGGAGCGUCUCUGCCCGCCGCCCAUUGUCUGAGAUGUGGGGAGCGCCUCUGCCCCGCCGCCCCGUCUGGGAUGUGAGGAGCGCCUCUGCCCGGCCGCGACCCCGUCUGGGAGGUGAGGAGACCCUCCGCCCGGCAACCGCCCCGUCUGAGAAGUGAGGAGCCCCUCCGCCCGGCAGCCGCCCCGUCUGAGAAGUGAAGAGCCCCUCCGCCCGGCAGCCACCCCGUUUGGGAGAUAUUGAAUUUUCCAAGACCACUCUGGCCCACCAUGCCCCUCAUCCUGUGCCCAUAAAAACCCAAGACCAUAGCAGGCACACACACAAGGGGCUGGAUGUCGAGAGGAGCAGAAGAGCAGAAGAACACACCAACAGACACCAGCAGACACUGACAGGCCAUCGACAACAGGACAACGUGGAAUUCUGUCAGGGGUGGUUCUUGAAGAGCCCAGCCGCUAGGUGGCGCAACUCCAGGGGAAGACCACCUUCCCACUCCAUCCUCCUUCUGGCUCCACAUCCAUCUCACUGAGAGCUACUUCCCCCACUCAAUAAAACCUUGCACCCAUCCUCCAAGCCCACAUGUGAUCCGAUUUUUCCAGUACACUAGGGCAAGAAGCCGGGAUACAGAAAGCCCUUGUGAUAAGACAGAGAGUCUAAUUGAGCUGCUUAACACAAGCCACCUGCAGAGAGCAAAACUGCAAGAGCACACUGUAACACAGGCCCACUGGGGCUUCGAGAGCUGUAAACACUUAACCCUAGAUGCUGCUGUGGGGUCGGAGCCCAAAAACACUCCCCAGUACCUGCAUCCUCUACAUGCUCCCCCUAGAGGUUUGAGCAGCCGAGGACUGAAGAAGCGAGCCACAUCCCUGUUGCAUGCCCUGUGAGGGGGAUAAGGGAACUCCUCCAGUUUCAGAGGCAGGCGGAUCGCUCGAGCCCAGGAAUUUGAGACUAGCCUGGGCAACAUGGUGACAUCCUGUCUGUAUCAAAAAUACAAAAAAAUUAGCCAGGCAUGGUGGUGUGUACUUGUGAUCCCAGCUACUCAGGAGGCUGAGGUGGGAGAAUCAUCAGAGCCUGGGGAGGUCGAGGCUGCAGUGAGCCAUGAUCUCACCACUGCACUCUAGCCUGUGCCACAGAGUGAGACCCCGUCUCAAAACAACAACAACAACAACAACAAAGAAUGGCAUGAACAUAUAUUCCAACAUCAUGACAUCUAAUUUUAUGAAAUUACAUAUCAGUUCACUCUAUCCAUAAACUCUGGAAAAUUUUCCUUCUCAAGCCAUCCCAUUACAUAGAUGAGACUAGCUUAUCAGUUCAAAUCACAACUUUGGUUCCAGUUUAGUCAGCCCCGGAUUGUGAGAAUAGAGGGAUUAAGGAUAGUGAGGAUAUUAAUCACUCCGUAUGGACCCUCAAUAGUCUAGCUCAUGAUUCUCAGGUAGAGCCACUAGGAAAAUAUCCAGUUCUGACAUCAAAUAUAUUAUCAAAAGUAACCAUUCAUAGAAAAAAAGUUAUAAAACAUUCAGUUCAUAAACAGUGUACAAAAUUGUAGCUGAUAACACCCAUUCUUCACUUUCCAUAAAUCAGACGUUUUCAUUUUAUUUUAUUUUAUUUUAUUUUUUGGGUGCGGGGACAGAGUCUUUCUCUGUCACCCAGGCUGGAGUGCAGUGGCACAAUCUCGGCUCACUGCAAACUCUGCCUUCUGGGUUCAAGUGAGUUUUGUGCCUCAGCCUCCCAAGUAGCUGGGACUAUAGGUGCACACAACCAGGCACAGCUAAUUUUUGUAUUUUUAGCAAAGGUUUGGUUUUGUCAUGUUGGCCAGGCUGGUCUUGAACUUCUGGCUUCAAAUGAUCCACCUGCCUCAGCCUCCUAAAGUGCUGGGAUUACAGGCCUAAGCCACCGCACCCCAACCUAAAUUUUUUUUCUUUAAUUCUCAUCCAAAAUCUUCAAUCUUCAUGUCCAAAAUAAAAUAUUAUUAUCUUUUUUAUUUAAAGGUCAGUUAUCCUGAUUUUGUCUUCUAGAAGGAAACUUAUGGAUACUUUAAAUUUAUUUUCAACAAAUAUUUAUUGUCUACUAUAUUUCAGAUGGAUACAUUUGUGAAUAAAACAAACCAAAAUAAAAAUUAGACUCAUGGAGCUCACAGUAUCUUGGUGGAGGCAGAUAGUGAACAAAAUUAAUAAGUAAAAUACGUAUUACAUUACAUGAUGACAAGUGCUAAGGACAAAAAUAAAGCAUAGAAGGGCAUGAAGGUGCAAUUUUUUUUUUUUUUUUGAGACGGAGUUUCACUCUUGUUGCCCAGGCUGGAAUGCAGUGACGCCAUCUCGGCUCACUGCAACCUCUACCUCCCAGGUUCAAGCAAUUCUCCUGCCUCAGCCUCUGAAUUAGCUGGGAUUACAGGUGCAUGCCACCACACCCAGCUAAUUUUGUAUUUUUAGUAUAGACGGGGUUUCCCUACGUUGGCCAGGCUGGUCUUGAACUCCUGACCUUAGAUGACCCGCCCACCUGGGCCUCCCAAAGUUCUGGGAUUACAGGCAUGAGCCACCAUGCUCGGCCAUAAAGGUGCAAUUUUACAUAGAGUAGGAAGGGAAGGCUUCAUGAAGAUAUUUGAGUGCAGGGUGAAUGAGGUAAGGGAGCAAGCCAUGUGAAGAUGAAGGGGAGGAGCUGCUCCAGAGGGAACAGCAACUGCAAAGGCUCAGAGGUGGCAGCCUUCCUAGAUGCUUGAGGACUAUCAAGGAAGCCAGUAUGGUUAUUGAGGAGACACUAAAGGGAAGGUAGAAGAUGAGACUCAAGAGGUAAUGAGUGUCAGCAAUCACAGAGCACAUGGAGAAUUUCGGAACAUUUUAAGGGAAUCUCAGAACCAGAAGAUGCAUUCGAGAUCAUCUAGCUCACUGGGUUUUGACAUUUGUUUACUUUGAUCCAAAAUAAAUACAUUUUAUUUCUUGACGUGGCACACACAUGUGUACAUACAUACACACACGUUCACACAUACACACAUAGUAAUGAAACAAAAAUUUUAUGAAACAGGCCAGGUGCAGUGGCUUAUGCUUGUAAUCCCAGCACUUUGAGAGGCUGAGUCAGGAGAAUUGCUUGAAGCCAGGAGUUGAGACAAGACUGCAUACAAAGGGAGACCCUGUCUCUACAAAAAAUAAUAAUAAGCCAGGCUCAGCAGCAUGCAUCUAUAGUCCCAGCUACUUGGGAGGUUGAGGUGGGAAGAGCACUUGAACCCAGGAGUUCAAGGCUGCAGUGAGCUGUGAUCACGCCACUGCACUCCUGCCUGGGCAACAGACAAAGGCUCUGUCUCAAACAAACAAACAAAAUCUAUGAAACAUAUUUAUCAUGAUGUAUGAUACACCCUGACAUUUUGUUUUGAAUUCUGGUGGUUACUUACCAAAUUGACUUUACAAUUCCCCUCUGUUAUUUUUGGUUUUUUGUUUGAUUUUGUGGGCUUUCUUUCUUUCUUUUUGCAGAAUUUUGCUCUUGUUGCCCAGGCUGGAGUGCAAUGGCGCGAUCUUGGCUCACCACAACCUCUGCCUCCCGGGUUCAAGCGAUUCUCCUGCCUCAGCCUCCCAAGUAGCUGGGAUUACAGGCGCACACCACCACGGCUGGCUAAUUUUGUAUUUUGGGGGCUUCCUUUAGCUUUCAGAAAGCAUAGCAGAAAUAAACAACCCUCAUUUUGAAAAACACUCAACUCUUUCAGUUGUAGCUCAAUCUUUUUAGUUUCCAGAUGAGGAAACAGAGACCCAGAGAGAGCAAGUGAUUUGUCAAAAUUUUCCCAAAGGUAGUAGCAAUGCUGGGACAAGAACCCAGGUCUCCCGACUUCUGGUCCAGGGCUUUGUACAGCAAAAAGAAGCCAGAUCCUCCUCUCCAGCACUUCUCAUGCUUCAUUUUAGUUUUUGAGUUUUUAUUUGUUUGUUUGGUUUUGUUUUUGUCUUUUGUUUUUUGUUUUUUUUUUGUUUGUUUUUUUUUUGAGACAGAGUCUCACUCUGUCUCUCAGGCUGGAGCAUAGUGUCGCGAUCUCGGCUCACUGCAACCUCCGCCUCCUGGCUUCAAGCAAUUCUCCUGCCUCAGCCUCUGGAGUAGCUGGGACUACAGGUACGUGCCACGACACCCGGCUAAUUUUUUUGGAUUUUUAGUAGAGACGGGAUUUCACCGUGUUAGCCAGGGUGGUCUCGAUCUCCUGACCUCGUGAUCUGCCCACCUUGGCCUCCCAAAGUGCUGGGAUUAUAGGCGUGAGCCACCUGCCCGGCCUGGGGUUUUCGUUUGUUUGUUUUUAUUUUUUUGUCUAUUUUGUUUUUGUUUUUGUCUUUGAAACAGGAUCUUGUCCUGUCACUCAGGUUGGAGUGCAGUUGUACAAUCAUGGCUCACUACAAUCUCAGUCUCCCAGGCUCAAGUGAUCAUCUGCCUCAGCCUCCAGAGUAGUAGGAACUAUGGGCUUGCACUACCAUGCCUGGCUAAUUUUUUUUUAAGGUUUUUUUUUUUUUUUUGAGACAGAGUCUUGCUCUGCCACUCAGGCUGGAGUGCAGUGGAAUAAUCUUGGCUCACUGCAACCUCUGCCUCCUGGGUUCAAGCAAUUCUCAUGCCUCAGCCUCCCAAGUGGCUGGGAUUGCAGGUGCCUGCCACCACACCCAGCUAAUUUUUGUAUUUUGGGUAGAGACAGGGUUUCACCCUGUUGACCAGGCUGGUCUUGAACUCCUGAUCUCAAGUGAUCCACCCACCUUGGCCUCCCAAAGUGCUGAGAUUAUAGGCGUGAGCCACUGCGCCCAGCCUUUUUUAGGUUUUUAUGGAGACGAGGUCUCACUUUGUUGCCCAGGCUGGUCUCAAACUCCUGUGCUCAAGCAAUCCUCCUGCCUUGGCCCACCAGAGUGUUGGGAUUACAAGCAUGAGCCACCACACCCAGCCAUUUUCACUUCUUAAAAAAACAUAUUAAAGCAGAAUUUCCUGAGUAAUAGCUUAACUAGCUUUCUUAAAUGUGCUCUACUUGCCUUAUUUUUUAAGCUUAAACUUUUAUAAACACAAAUAUAACAUAAUAUUUUUAAUUAAAAUAUUAAAUUAUUUAUACCCAGCAUGCAUAAUACAAAUAUACUUAAAACUGAAUUCUUCCAUGGAUUAUUCAAAGGCACAUUUUCAUAAUCAUAACAUUAAUCAAAUGAGUCAUCAUAAAUCUCAUGAGGUUGUGUGCAGACGGCACAUAUAAAAGUUCAAGGUCAUACACAACUAUGGUUAACAUACUUCAUUUCAACUCAAUGGGCAUUUAAAUAACAUCUACUGGCCAGGCGUGGUGGCUCAUGCCUAUAAUCCCAACACUUUGGGAAGCCAAGGUGCGAGGAUCACUUGAGGCCAGGCAUUUGAGACCAGCCUGGGCAACAUAGGAGACCCUAUCCCUACAAAAAAUUUUUUUUAAUUAGCUAGGCAUGGUGGUGCGCACAUAUGGUCCCAGCUACUCAGGAGGCUGAGAUGUAAGGAUUGCUUGAACCCAAGAAGUUGAGGUUGGACUGAGCCAUGAUUGUGCCACUGCGCUCCAGCCUGGGAGACAAAGUGAGAUCCUGUCUCAAAAAAAUAAAAAAUUUUAAAAAAGGAACAUCUACUAUGUGCUAAUUGUGCAUGUUGGGAAAAUAACUAUCAAUUAAUAAGUCCUUCUGGACUUCAGGAACUUACAAUCUAGUAAGAGAGAUAGUCAAGCCAAUAGCCAUAAUUCAAUAUGAGAAGAUAUAUGAGAUAUAUAUGAGAAGAUGUAUAUAUGAUAUCUCAGAUAUCAGAGAAGUACAGAGUACUCGUUCCUUAACUACUAUAGGAACACAGAUGAGGGUUAAGUUAAUUUUCCUUAGGGUUAGAGAUGGUUCAGAAAGACUAAAAAGAGGAGAAAAUAUUUGUUCUGGGCCUUAAAAGAUGAGUAGAAAUUUGCUGACCAGGUGAAUAGUGAAACAGGUAUAAGGAGAGGAGAGAAUAGUAUGAAUAAAAAGAAAAAGUAUAGCAUGAAAAGCAUGUCACAUAGAAGAAUCAUCUGACUAGACUGUGGAUGCCCUCUUAUGUGGAUGCCCUCUUAUGGGUCAGACAUGACAUGACUAGGUAUUUAGACUUUAUUCUAGAGCAAAUGAGGAAUCAUCAAAGAUCUUUAAUAAAGUAAUUCUGGAAGCAAAGUAGAAACUAAACAUGAGGCUGUUAUGGGUUGAAUUGAGUCCCCUAAAAAAGAUAUGUUGAAGUCCUAGGCCCCAGUACCUCAGAAUGUGACCUUAUUUGGGGCCGGGCACAGUGGCUCACGCCUGUAAUCCCAGCACUUUUGGAGGCCGAGGCGGGCAGAUCACUUGAGGUCAGAAGUUUGAUAUCAGCCUGGCCAACAUGGCAAAACCCCAUCUCUACAAAAAUACAAAAAUUAGCUGGGGGUGGUGGUGCCUGCCUGUAAUUCCAGCUACUGGGGAGGCUGAGACAGGAGAAUCACUUGGACCUGGGAGGCAGAGGUUGCAGUGAGCUGAGAUCAUGCCACUGCAUUCCAACCUGGGGUGCCUGGGUGACAGAGUGAGACCCUGUCUCAAAAAAAAAAAAAAAAAAAAAAGAGAAUGUGACCUUAUUUGGAAACAGUCUUCACAGAUGAAGUCAAGUAGUUAAGAUAAGGUUAUUAGGGUGGGCCAUAAUCCAAUAUAAUUGAUGUCCUUAUAAAAAGGGGACAUUUGGACACAGACACAGACAUGCUCAGAGGGAAGACUGCAUGAAGAGACUAGGAAAAUGCCAUUUGGAGGUAGAGGAUUGAGUGAUACAUCUACAAGCCAAGUGUUGCCAAGAUUGCCAGCAAACCACCAGAAGCCAGGCAAGGGGCAUGGAACAGAUAUCCUCCUUCACAGCCCUCACAAAGAACCAACCCCACUGACACCUGGAUUUUGGACAUCUAGCCUCCCAAACUGUGAGACAAUAAAUGUCUGCUAUUUUAAGCUGCUCUGUUUGUGGCUUUGUUAUAUACUUUGUUAUGGGAGCCCUAGGAACUAACAUAGAGGCUACUAAACAGUGCAGUCUAAAGCGAUGAGAGAUUGAACAAAAACACUGACAGUGGGGAGUUGAGAAAAAGUCACAAAUAUGAAAAAUAUCACUGAGGUAAAAGCAGCAAUGUUUAGUGAUUGGCUGAAUACGGCAAAGGAGAAAAAGGAGUCCAAGAUGGAUGAAGCUCUUAUUCUACCUUAAUCCAUCAAUGUGGUGUCAAAACUAUCUUGGUGUCCUCAUUAGAUUGUUCUUGAGGCCAGGGACCUUAUAAAAAUUCCCAUGCCUUUUCCCCUGGCUAAAUUUAAAACUUUCUUUGGACUGGAGUCCUCAGUUUUCAUUCUAUUGGCUUAUAACUUCCUUCUCCUUCCCCUUCCCCUCGUCCUCCUCCUCCUCUUCCUCCUCCUCCUCCUCCUCCUCCU